Molecule: long non-coding RNA, 6046 nt
Organism: Cygnus olor (mute swan)
Lineage: Eukaryota; Metazoa; Chordata; Aves; Anseriformes; Anatidae
Exons: 5
Source: RefSeq, a predicted model, not a curated record
UCAAACUUUUCUAUCCUAGAGCAGUUCUAGGUUUAUUAAAUUACACAAUUAAAAAAGAAAAAAAAAACAUGGGGAGAAAAUCUGUAGCUAAGAUUUUGGAAAAGUUGGAGGUCAUUUUGCAUUGCGUCAGAGCCAUGCAAGCUGUAAUAUGCUUGUCAGUUAAACUGGUUCAGGGUUGUUUACCCAUUCUGGGCACCCAGCCAGCCUAACUUACAAAACUGCAAUUAUCAUGAUUGCUAGGAAUAGUUCCACUUCUUGCCUUGGAUUUCUUGUGCCUUGCUCCUUUUCUUCUUCAAGGAAGUCUUAAAUUUUCCUGUCAGUUCUGAGGAGACCCUGAUUUCCCCCUUAGGGGUUCCCACAGAGACAAGUCACGGGCUAUCAAGCCUUGACAAAUGCAGUCCUUCCACAGAGGGAGCAAGAGCCUCGCUUCUGGGGGUUGAAUCCCUGCUGGCCCCAGGCAAGAAAGCCAAGUCUUGCUGCAGGAGACCCACAACCUUCAGGUUUUUUAUGGUUUAACACAAUCUCUGAAUCUUUCUCACAGGCUGAGGUGCUUUGGCAUUUGCCUUGUCCUCCAUUUAUGGCCACACCGUUUCUGUGGCAAUUCCAGCAGUGGUUUGGUGCAUGUGUUGAAGUAGUUUUCUGUGUCCCUUAACAAACCACAAACCAAAAGGAAAGAACUAGUACCAGGUGCAGGCUACCUAGCAGCUUUUGGGCUGCAAGUACUGUGAGGUUUGAAGGCUCUUAGGAUAAUGCAGUGUUAUGUCAGUGCUUCUGUCAGGUUCCUAGAAGACUCCUUUCCACCUCCUCCCACGUGCGUGCCUCAGUUGGCUGUUUUGGCUAGACAAAGAUGUGAAGCAGCUGGGCGUUAGUUAUCAGGGAGAACAUGUUGGAAGGGGCAGUUUCACGUUGCUGGUAUGAGCUGGGGUCGUGGCUGCCUUAAUGAGAAAGCCUGCAAGCUGGUGAUAGUCUGUUUAGUGGGGAAACUCGUCAAGUCUGUAGCAAAGUUGUACUCUGAUGGUUUAUCAUCAGUGAUUUGCAGGGUCAAGUAUGGCAGCAGUCGAGGCACUGUGCACAGACGCCUUCACGCAGUUCUUUGAGUAGAGCUCCUGUUGUACUUGAUAGGAGAAACGGGUGUAAAAGAGCCUUAUUCUCAGCUGUCAUUCUUGCAAGGGAACUGCCUCUCUCUUUUUGUGCAUUACAUUUUUUUUUUUUUGUACAUUCUGGAUGUGUUCUUAUUCUCCGUUGUCCAUGUAAACAGUUUCAGUUUGUGAUGAGGCAGUGGUCUGAGAAAAUCCAACACUUAUCUUGCUUGUGCCUUGUACUACUGGGCACUGUGUCUUCAGUGAUAACACAUUUCUGGGGAGUGUGCUGUAGGUCUUUCCCAUUAGCACCGAAGAUCUUCUCAGGCACAGUUCCUCUUCAUUGGCAUGAACUUAGAGGAACACCAGGAAUGUCAGAGACAGGGAAAUAAUGGUGGCAUGGCAAGUUAUUGGGGAUUACUGGCCAGAAAUUUUCCUUCAGGGCACUUCCUGGGUUCAAGCCAAUUUCUUGGGGUACAAAACUCUGCUGAGGAUUUCCAAGGUCUCUGAAUCUAAAGUCAGGGACUCUGUUUAUCUUUUCCCAGAAAUUGGCAAAAUUAUAUUUUUAUUUUUUUCCUCAGCUAAUCAACCUGUCUUGGGGAACUUUUGGAAAUUUUUUAUAUGGCUUAUUUUUUAUGUUAUCUAUGUAUAGUGUUAUGGACUGCGGUAUUAUUUGGUUGUUUAUUUUUGAAAGUUUAGCAAUGAAAUUUGCUUUGCUUCAUAGAAAUUGGUGUCAAAACCUGACUUUUGUCUUCCCCUGGAUGUACGGACAUAUUUCAUUUAUAUCUAGAAUGGAAUUUUCUGUGUCAGCAUAAAGGAACAUGUAAUUUCUUCAUAAACACUCAGAAAUGAAAGUGUGACUUCAGUUAUUCUUAGAUGCAGUGCAAUGCUGACUUUACAGCUGCUUCUGUGGAUGUUACAGCUCAGCUCUUGAGAUCACAAAGUUCAGUCUGCAGACUCCUAUUUUGACAUGACUGGUCACGAGGCCUACAAAGCAAGCAAAAAAAAAACCAAAAACAAACAAAAAAAACCCCUCUUGUGGACAUGGUUGCUUUCCUUUGCUUUCUUAUUUUGAUCCUCUUGAUUCAAGUGCUUGUCUCGUUCAGAAGCUCCCAGCAUUGCAUACUUAGAAUCGAAAAACCAUUUCAGAACUUACGUUCAGGACUUGCCAAGUUUCUAGCUCUAAUCCCCGUGGCUCUUUCUGAGCGUAGAGCCCAGAGAGAGGGCUGGAGAAAAGGAAGGGAAAAAAUAUGGACAUGUGUCUGCCUUCUGACAUUUGAACAUAGCAUGCUUCUAUGACAUAGCAGUCCUGUGCCACAGCAGACCUUACUGAAACCAACCCGGAAAGAAAACUAACUUAUUUUGUCAUUUUUACAUCAUGGAGUGCAAGCAUGGUUUCUGUAGAUGUGUGUGUUUUAGUUAUUCCUGGCUUAGCAAGUUUUUUAUUUUCUGUUUUUUAAAUAAUAGUGUUUGACUAAAGAUUCCCAUCCAACCUGAUAAGAAGCACACAAUGGUUGAAGCUGGAAGAGACCUCUGGAGGUUGUUUGGUCCAACUCCCCUGCCCUGGAGCUGGCUGUCCAGGAGGCUUUUGAAGAUCUCAAAUCUCUCCAGGCAACCUGGGUCAGUGCUCAGUCAACCUGACAUUGGAAAAAGUGUUCCCUGAUGUUCAGAUGGACCCUCCUAUGUUUGUGCUCACAGCCUCUUGCCCUGUCACUGGACACCACUGAAAAGAGCCUGGCUUCAUCUUCUAUAUACCCUCCAUUCAGAACAAUAAUGGUGCGGUUUCUGGAGCACAGAGAAGUACCCUUUAGCAACAUCAGCAAUCCAGUGAAGGACUCCUUGAAGGAAACUGCUUGAAAUCCACGCUUUAGGCAAAUUAGGAACUUGGAACAAAGAAAAGACCUCGAGUAACAAAUCAAGAGAAGAUGUGGCUUAGUGUAUGCAGGUGGCUUUCCAACAGUUCCAAGUACAUCCAAAUCAUGUCUUUCUGGUACUGUUUCUUGACCAGGAGAAAAGUAACUAUUUAAUUCCAAAAAUAAAUUUGAUUAUAAUGGAACUUUUUGUGAGGUAAAUAUACACUAAGGCCUGUCCAGUCCAAUUGCCGGUAUUUAACCCUUUCCUGUUUGCUAGUGCCUGUGAUAGUACCUACUUCAGGAAAAUUAGAAUGUCCCAGAGAGAUUCCUACACUGUACUAUUAAGGUUUCUGUCAUACUUUGAUAUUUCAGCACCAAUACCGACAAUUGCCUUCUCAUGUGUCUCUAGUGAAUUCUGAAUUCCUUACAGAGCAUAGAUUGUGUAGUACAGUAAAGCACUUAAAGUAGCAGACAGUCUUGACAGGAGCCUUAGGGGUCAAGACUGAGCCAGGCUAAAGCUAACUCAAUUUUGUAUUCCAGUACCAUCUUUCCAAAUUCUACUAACCAUUGGCUAGAUGUCUGACACCCAAGCAGGUUUUGUAAUUUGUCUUCGUGCCUGAACGAUGAAAAAAGGUAGGAAAUUUUCUUCCUUGUUUAAAAAAAAAAAAAAAAGAAAAAGAAAAAACACAAAAACACCACAUGGAAGUUCUCUCAGACAUUCAGAAAGAUGUUGUUUCUAUGUUCUUAGUACCUGGGUCCAACAACCUGUGAGGCUCCAAAAUUCUCCAAGAACAAGUUUUUUGCAUGCCAGCACAUCAGUACUAGAAUCAGCGUAGAAAAGCCAUCUUAAAGUGCAACUGCUUUUGUGAAGUUGCAACUCCAAAGUGCCUUAGAAGUUAAUGCUGGCUUCAGCAGUCUUUCCACCCUUGUCCUUGAGCCCAAUCAAUCCCUUGUGGCUGCAGCUGCAUUUAAGGACCAGAAGCUAAAUCUGAUUCUUCAGGCUGAUUUAUCUAUGCAGUACUGCAAGUUUGUGUAGAACAAUACACGCAUCAGCAGUGAAACAGGCUAAACAAAGACCUGACUUCUGUGAGGAAAAGCACUGAAAACACUAAUUUUAAAAGAUCUUGAGUCACUUUAUAUGAUCUCAUGAUUGAUUGAGUGCUAUUAGAAGGCCAUCAUUUUGCUGUCUUUGUUCUGUUAUGGUUUUCUAAAAACUAAACUAGUCUUAAUGUUGUUCCAUUCAAAUAUAGGGUCCUCAGUUGUCUGAGUUGGAGGACUUCUAUUUUUUUUUUUUUUUGACAGCAGCUGAAAGUAAAAUUCUGUGUUACUUAUUAGAUAUUUGAUGGAAAAAUCUUCACACGGUUGCCAUGUUUCCUCACAAAUGCCUUUUUUUUUUUUUUCCUGAAGUGUUUGGAAACCUGUAAACCCUUCAGAAAUCAUUAAUAGAAUUAAAGCUCUAUAAGAAGAGACGGACACAGAAGAUUCACAUACCUGCAACUAUUGGAGGUAUCUCUUGUGGACCGACAGCGCAGCAAUUCAUAUUUCAGGGGAAUCUGAAAAAUAGGUACACUGCAUUUUACUUCAGUACCUGAUGCCUACCUUGCUGGAUGGGCCUCUCCUGUUGGAUCUAGUCGCCUGUUUCAGUGAAAUUUAUUCAUGGUUAAGAACAGCAUAAAUAAUCCUCAAGCUGAAAUAGAUGCAAUCUAUGCCCAAAUUCUUCUUCAAGGUGCCAGAAAAGCGAUGUGAAUAUCAACUUGAGUCAAACUCAAAAACGUUUAACGUUACAGAACUUUGUGUAAUGUAUCUUUCUCUCUCCCUUUCAAUAUAAUCAAAUUCGGGUAAGGAAUCCUCACUUUCUUUACCACAGAAUUAUUGGGAAGAUGAUACAUUCUUAAGAGAUAUGAAAGAACAUUCAGUAAUUUUUCUGCAAACUGUAACAAAACAAUUAAGAAUCAAAUGACUUCCUGAAUGUUGUCUUCCUAUCUACCUUAUCUAAGAGAAAACAUCUAUAUAGUUUGAAACAAUAAAUUAAUUUUCAACAUUUCAAUGGAAACUAUUAAGAGUUUAUAUACAUUUGACAGAAUAAAACCUUAAUAUUUAAGGAAGUCUCUAAUUUGCAACAUUUAAGCACCUCUUCCUUUUAAAAUCAGAACUGUCUUUGAAAAAUACAACUAUAUGAGAACCGCAUUUAAAAUGUGUUAAGAAAUAUUAGUUUUAUUUAACCAGUUUUCACAGCUGAAUAUUUAUUCUAUAAAAACUUUACAGAUUGUACAGUUUAUAUAUAGUUCAAACUACUAGAACAAAAAAGUAGGUCCCACAGAUGCAAAAAUACUGUACCAAUCCAAGGUAAAGGCAGAUUUACACACUGUACAGCUCUCCACUGGGAAGGGGAGGUGGGUCAGUUCCAAGUUAAAAACUUCAAAACUGUACAAAAAUAAGGUUUGAUUUCUUUUUCAUUCUUCAUAAUACAUUCAAUAAGAUUGCAAGCACAGAUACCCAAGUAAUAAUAGAUAUCUGCAGUCAGGAAUCAAUAACCACUCCUGAAAGGAAUGCAAAAUAGGUCUAUUUACACAGGGCACUCUUUUACACCAUACUGUAUAUAGUGUAUAUUUAAAAUAAUAAAAAAGCAUAGACAAAGAACAUUAAACAUCUAAUAUAAGGUAGUUUUUUUAAAAGUUUUUUUUUACUUAAUAGUGUGCCAAAAGAAUUUUAACUUAUUAAAUAAUAUAUUCUAAGUGACCCUAAAAUUUAUGAACAUAAAAUGCAUUUUUGGUGUAAUACAUCAAUUAAACCAGCAAAUAUGAAAAAAAUGUAUAUAAAGUAGUAUUCUCACCCAGCAACAGAAGCACUUAUGUAGUUAUUAAAAAAAAAAAAAAGAAAGAAAAAACAGAGGCUAUUUAAAAACCCACUAAAACUAACUUAUAACUUAGGAUAUUCAUACGUAGAUAUUCAGUGAUUCACUAAUACUGCAAAACAAGCUUUUUUUUGUCUUUUUUCCUUCCCCUUCCACUUCCCUCAUUCCCCUUCCCCAAGAGACAGUGGUUUCUUCAUGCUGUCUGGGUAAGAAUUAAACAUAUUCCUGCCACUUUCUACCCACCCCUCUAUAUCUCCCCC